GGAAAGGACGCCUCUGGUGGGGCAGCCGGUCUUCAAAACCGGUAGGCCAUAGAGAUAUGGCUGGUGGGUUCGAUUCCUACCCUUUUCC
RNAcentral lists this transfer RNA (88 nucleotides) under bacterium ADurb.Bin243. RNAcentral describes it as "tRNA-Sec". It matches the Rfam family "Selenocysteine transfer RNA". The record is from RNAcentral.